GACGAACGCUGGCGGCGUGCCUAACACAUGCAAGUCGAGCGAAGAACUUCGGUUCUUAGCGGCGGACGGGUGAGUAACACGUGGGUAACCUGCCUCAAAGAGGGGGAUAGCCUCCCGAAAGGGAGAUUAAUACCGCAUAAUAUCAGGAUCUCGCAUGAGAACUUGAUUAAAGGAGCAAUCCGCUUUGAGAUGGACCCGCGGCGCAUUAGCUAGUUGGUGAGGUAACGGCUCACCAAGGCGACGAUGCGUAGCCGACCUGAGAGGGUGAUCGGCCACAUUGGAACUGAGACACGGUCCAGACUCCUACGGGAGGCAGCAGUGGGGAAUAUUGCACAAUGGGCGAAAGCCUGAUGCAGCAACGCCGCGUGAGUGAUGAAGGCCUUCGGGUUGUAAAACUCUGUCUUCUGGGACGAUAAUGACGGUACCAGAGGAGGAAGCCACGGCUAACUACGUGCCAGCCGCCGCAGUAA
Molecule: ribosomal RNA, 470 nt
Filed under: uncultured bacterium
Lineage: Bacteria
Description: partial 16S ribosomal RNA
Rfam family: Bacterial small subunit ribosomal RNA
Source: RNAcentral